GUGGGGAAUAUUGCACAAUGGGGGAAACCCUGAUGCAGCGACGCCGCGUGAAGGAAGAAGGCUUUCGGGUUGUAAACUUCUUUGACAGGGGACGAAACAAAUGACGGUACCCUGAAAACAAGCCACGGCUAACUACGUGCCAGCAGCCGCGGUAAUACGUAGGUGGCAAGCGUUGUCCGGAUUUACUGGGUGUAAAGGGCGUGUAGGCGGGACGGUAAGUCAGAUGUGAAAUGUAGGGGCUCAACCCCUGAACUGCAUUUGAAACUAUCGUUCUUGAGUGAUGGAGAGGCAGGCGGAAUUCUGUGUGUAGCGGUGAAAUGCGUAGAUAUACGGAGGAACACCAGUGGCGAAGGCGGCCUGCUGGACAUUAACUGACGCUGAGGCGCGAAAGCGUGGGGAGCAAACAGGAUUAGAUACCCCGGUAGUCC
This 428-nucleotide ribosomal RNA is filed under the name uncultured bacterium. RNAcentral's name for it is "partial 16S ribosomal RNA". It matches the Rfam family "Bacterial small subunit ribosomal RNA", at positions 354 to 796 of the family's 1533-position model. The record is from RNAcentral.